This 72-nucleotide transfer RNA is filed under the name Bos taurus (domestic cattle). It matches the Rfam family "tRNA". From Rfam's summary of the family: Transfer RNA (tRNA) molecules are approximately 80 nucleotides in length. Their secondary structure includes four short double-helical elements and three loops (D, anti-codon, and T loops). Further hydrogen bonds mediate the characteristic L-shaped molecular structure. tRNAs have two regions of fundamental functional importance: the anti-codon, which is responsible for specific mRNA codon recognition, and the 3' end, to which the tRNAs corresponding amino acid is attached (by aminoacyl-tRNA synthetases). tRNAs cope with the degeneracy of the genetic code in two manners: having more than one tRNA (with a specific anti-codon) for a particular amino acid; and 'wobble' base-pairing, i.e. permitting non-standard base-pairing at the 3rd anti-codon position. Lineage: Eukaryota; Metazoa; Chordata; Mammalia; Artiodactyla; Bovidae. The record is from Rfam by way of RNAcentral. RNAcentral also lists the same sequence under 4 other names.
UCCCUUUUGGCUCAGCUGGUAAAGAAUCCACCUUCAGUGUGGAGAACCUGGGUUCUAUCCCUGGAUUGGGAA